This 507-nucleotide ribosomal RNA is filed under the name uncultured bacterium. RNAcentral's name for it is "bacterial SSU rRNA". It matches the Rfam family "Bacterial small subunit ribosomal RNA", at positions 36 to 518 of the family's 1533-position model. The record is from RNAcentral.
CUGGCGGCGUGCCUAAUACAUGCAAGUCGAACGGCUUUCUAUGGAAGCUUGCUUCCACUGAGAAGAUAGUGGCGAACGGGUGAGUAACACGUGGGUAACCGUGCCCAUAAGAGGGGGAGUAACAGCUGGAAACGGCUGCUAAUACCGCAUAAGCUUUUUGAGACGUAUGUUUUAGAAAGUAAAGGAGGCGCAAGCUUUCGCUUAUGGAUGGGCCCGCGUCUGAUUAGCUAGUUGGUAGGGUAGAGGCCUACCAAGGCAACGAUCAGUAGCCGGCCUGAGAGGGUGGACGGCCACACUGGGACUGAGAACGGCCCAGACUCCUACGGGAGGCAGCAGUGGGGAAUAUUGCGCAAUGGGGGAAACCCUGACGCAGCGACGCCGCGUGAGCGAAGAAGGCCUUCGGGUUGUAAAGCUCUGUUGUAAGGGACGAAUGUCUAGGGUAGUAACUGACCUUAGAAUGACGGUACCUUACCAGCAAGCCCCGGCUAACUACGUGCCAGCCGCCGC